Cataglyphis hispanica is the source of this 4364-nucleotide RNA transcript. It is a transcript of the gene named cohesin subunit SA-2, with no coding region annotated. NCBI's taxonomy places the organism in Eukaryota, Metazoa, Arthropoda, Insecta, Hymenoptera, Formicidae. The transcript is spliced from 19 exons. The record is from RefSeq and is a predicted model, not a curated record.
GAACGCAGAAGAACGCAAAAAAUGGAUACAAUUCAAGUUUGACAAUUUUGUAUAUUUCAACUUUAUCAAGCAAAACUAUCGAGGAAUACCUUUCUCACAAGAAACUGUCUUAUUAACGAAUUGUCAGAACAAUAUAUAUAGUUGUGAUUUCUAACAUUUUUAGUAAAGAAAUCCUGAUAAAUCCGCUUCGUAUACUGCUUCAUGGAUUUACUGCGGUCGACCGCGCGUUUUUUCUUCAGAUAUGAAUUUUGUUGUUGGGCACAUUAAAACGUAGAAAACGUCGAGAUGAUGCAUAGAAGAGGUGGUAAGCGAAUCCGGAUGGAUGAUCCGGUGCCGCCAGAGUACGAGACACCAAUGACGCCUAUGACUCCGAUGAAUGACAAUUCCGGCGGAGACGCAAAUGACUCUUACAAUGCUUACACACCUUAUCAAGCGUCUCAGACUCCGCUACAUAAUCCCACUCCAGAACAUUACUCUUCUGAGAGCUACAGUUCACCGGGCACAUCUCAACAGCAAUAUCAGGAGCAGGGCAAUUUUGACAAUCAAACCCAAUUUGAGGCUCCUAUGACGCCUGCUGCUUCCAACAUGAGGAUUACAAGGAACACACGUGCCAGGAUGCGUGGAGGCAUAGUGCAGCAACCCAAAUACAAAGAGAUUGAUACGGAUUAUACUCCAACAUCUAGCAGCAGAGGAAGAGGUGGUGGGGGACGAGGACGAGGCAAAAGGGCGCAUCAUUCGCAUAGUCUGGAAGAUGAAGCUAGUCUCUACUAUGUUAUUAGAAAUAAUCGUUCGUCACUCACUACUAUUGUUGAUGAUUGGAUAGAAAAAUAUAAGGGUAACAGGGAAAAUGCCCUGCUUAUGCUUAUGCAAUUUUUCAUUAAUGCAAGUGGUUGCAAAGGUCGUAUCACUUCUGAGAUGCAACUGACUAUGGAACAUGUGGCGAUUAUUCGCAAAAUGACUGAAGAAUUUGAUGAAGAAAGUGGUGAAUAUCCAUUGAUAAUGACUGGACAACAGUGGAAAAAGUUUCGUGCAAAUUUCUGUGAAUUCGUUCAAAUUCUCGUCCGUCAAUGUCAGUAUUCUAUUAUCUAUGAUCAGUUUUUGAUGGAUAACGUUAUUUCUUUACUAACUGGACUCUCGGAUUCCCAAGUAAGAGCAUUUAGGCAUACUGCAACUCUUGCAGCCAUGAAAUUAAUGACAGCUCUAGUAGAUGUUGCCUUGACUGUAUCUAUAAAUUUGGACAAUACACAGCGUCAAUACGAAGCGGAAAGACAGAAGGCCCGAGAAAAAAGAGCAGCAGAUAGAUUAGAAUCUUUGAUGGCAAAGCGAAAAGAGUUAGAAGAGAAUAUGGAUGAAAUAAAAAAUAUGCUGACAUAUAUGUUCAAGUCUGUUUUCGUUCAUAGAUAUAGGGAUACUUUGCCGGAAAUACGUGCGAUUUGUAUGGCGGAAAUUGGAGUCUGGAUGAAAAAGUUUCAUCAAAAUUUUUUAGAUGAUUCAUAUUUGAAAUAUAUUGGUUGGACUUUGCAUGAUAAAGUCGGAGAAGUUAGGCUCAAGUGCCUUCAGGCGUUGCAACCGCUAUACGCUUCAGAGGAAUUGAAAACGAAACUCGAGUUGUUUACAAGCAAAUUUAAAGAUAGAAUUGUGGCGAUGACAUUGGACAAGGAAUACGAUGUAGCGGUACAGGCUGUAAAACUGGUUAUCUCAAUCUUAAAGCAUCACAGGGAAAUUCUCACUGAUAAAGACUGUGAACAUGUGUACGAACUUGUUUAUUCAUCGCAUCGCGCGGUUGCGCAGGCAGCCGGAGAAUUUCUGAACGAACGUUUAUUCCGUCCGGAAGACGAAGCCGUGGUGGAUGUUAAGACCAGACGCGGCAAGAAGCGAUUGCCGAAUACGCCUCUUAUACGCGAUCUUGUUCUAUUCUUCAUCGAAUCCGAAUUGCAUGAGCAUGGAGCGUAUUUGGUUGACUCCUUAAUCGAAACUAAUCAAAUGAUGAAGGAUUGGGAAUGUAUGACAGAUCUCUUGCUGGAGGAGGCUGGUCCCGACGAGGAAGCGUUGGAUAAUCAGAAGGAAACAUCCCUUAUCGAAUUAAUGGUAUGUUGCAUAAAGCAAGCUGCUACAGGCGAAGCACCUGUAGGUCGCGGACCCACUCGGAAAAUUUUGUCGGUGAAAGAACUUAAACAAGUUCACGAUGAUAAGCAAAAACUGACAGAACAUUUCAUUCAAACAUUACCACUAUUACUUGACAAGUACAGAGCAGAUCCUGAGAAAUUAGCAAACUUGCUGGCAAUUCCACAAUAUUUUGAUUUAGAUAUUUAUACAAAAUCUAGACAGGAGAUAAACUUAGAUUCUUUAUUAACUAAGAUCCAUGUGAUUGUUGAAAAAAUGCAUGAUAACGAGGUUUUAGAUACGGCGGCUAAAACUUUAGAACAUAUGUGUGUAGAAGGCCAUGCUAUUUUUACCAGAUGUGAUGUCGCUCGUUCCACUUUGAUCGACUCCAUUGUAAAUAAAUAUAAGGAAGCGAUCGAUGAAUAUAGAAAUUUGAUUGAGGGGGAUGAGGAGCCAGAUGAAGAUGAAAUAUUUAAUGUCGUCCAAUCACUCAAAAAAGUUUCUAUAUUUUAUUCUUGUCACAAUAUGAAUCCAUGGGGCAUAUGGGACUCAUUAUAUAAAGAUAUAGAAGAUGCAAAGGAUCCUUCAAAAUGUUUACCAUCAACUGCAGUUAAAUAUUGUAUAAGUGCAUGCUUCUUUGCCAUUUUGUGGGGCCAAAAUCAUUUGAUGGAAGCUGUAGAUUCGGGCAGCCACGGUGAGGAUGAAUGUCGGCAAUUGAAAGAACGAUUGCACUCUUUUAUGGGUUCAAUGCGCCAUUUCGUCAAUGGCGAUACGCCUUCACCACCGAUUUUAAGGGAAGAUGCAUAUAAUACUAUAUGUGACUUAUUAGUAAUAUUCUGCAAUCAACUCACUACGCAUAGUAAUCCUCUGAUGCAUCAAUUAGUGUAUGAGCCUGACCAAGCAAUGCAAAAUAUGCUCAAUAGAUUUAUACAAGAAUACGUCUUCUUUGAAGAGGAGGAUGAUGAACACGAUGAACAUUCUAAAAUCGAGGAACUGCAUAAAAGAAGAAAUUUCUUAGCUGGCUAUUGUAAAUUGAUCGUCUAUAAUAUGAUUCCUACGAAAGCCGCAGCCGAUGUAUUUAAGCAUUACGUUAAAUAUUAUAACGAUUAUGGCGAUAUUAUUAAGACCACAUUAGGAAAAGCAAGAGAUAUCAACAAAACAAAUUGCGCGCUCACAAUGCAACAAAGCUUAAAUAUUUUGUAUAACGAGAUAGUGGCCGAGAAGGGCAAAGUGAAUAGAAAUAGUGAAGAGUUCACCGCAAUCAAGGAACUGGCAAAGCGAUUUGCUUUGUCCUUCGGCUUGGAUGCCGUGAAAAAUCGCGAAGCAAUUACAGCCUUGCACCGUGCGGGCGUAUUAUUCGCCAUUACUCCACCAGAUGGUAUCGAACAAGAUCCUACAGGUCCACCACCGAAUUUACCAUUCCUCGAGAUACUGUCAGAAUUUACGAAUAAGCUUCUCAAACAGGAUAAACGUGUUGUACUCAAUUUUCUGGACAGACGAUUACAAGCUGGAAUGCCAUCUUCACGAGGAGAAGAUUGGCAGCCUUUACUCUUAUACAGAAAUAGUUUAUUACAUGGUGAAACUGAUCAAGUUCCAGUGACAAGUAAACGAGCUUACACGAGGCGCAAGAAAGAUCACUUGGCUGAGGAAGAGGAAGCUGAUGAACCUGAUGAAGGUUCUGAUCAUGAGUUUGCAGGCAAGCAAAAAAAAAAGCGUUCACGGAAAAAUCAAUUACCAGUUAAUAAAGUGGUGAUAACACGUGGACCUAGAACAAACACUUUCUAUGAGAAUAAUGACACUACACAAAUGCAAACAUCUCCUUCUACGACUCUAGAAGAUACAGCGACGAGUCCUUUGCAAGAUCUUGAUAAUAGAUUUAAAGCAUUACAAACACAGUCGUCACGAUCACGAAGAAACCAAGAGCAUGUAGAACACAGGGAAUUGCGUAGAACCUCUAGGAACUCGGGCAAAUAUGUCGAGGGGCAAUAUAUGGAAUCUGAUUCUGAGUAAGAAAACAUAGUCUAUAAAAGCUUUAUUUCUUAAAUUUAGACAACUGGAUUGUGAUAUGUGUUCAGGUUUUUGUUCUGGAAGAAGACUUUGGCUAAGACUAUCGUUAAAAUUAUCUUCUACUGGAGAGCCCGUCUAUAAAGAAGAGCAAAACUAUACACAUAUGAAAACAUGCAUAACAUUAGUGUAAAUUACCAAAACAUUUAACAUAUAGAUACAAUAAAUACACAAGACAUAGCAUUGCUUCUUAAUAA